RNAcentral lists this ribosomal RNA (472 nucleotides) under uncultured organism. Its description in RNAcentral is "partial 16S ribosomal RNA". It matches the Rfam family "Bacterial small subunit ribosomal RNA", at positions 334 to 797 of the family's 1533-position model. The record is from RNAcentral.
CACUCCUGCGGGAGGCAGCAGUGGGGAAUUUUGGACCAUGGGCGAAAGCCUGAUCCAGCAAUGCCGCGUGAGUGAAGAAGGCCUUCGGGUUGUAAAGCUCUUUUGUCAGGGAAGAAACGGUGAAAGCUAAUAUCUUUUGCUAAUGACGGUACCUGAAGAAUAAGCACCGGCUAACUACGUGCCAGCAGCCGCGGUAAUACGUAGGGUGCAAGCGUUAAUCGGAAUUACUGGGCGUAAAGCGUGCGCAGGCGGUUUUGUAAGUCUGAUGUGAAAUCCCCGGGCUCAACCUGGGAAUUGCAUUGGAGACUGCAAGGCUAGAAUCUGGCAGAGGGGGGUAGAAUUCCACGUGUAGCAGUGAAAUGCGUAGAUAUGUGGAGGAACACCGAUGGCGAAGGCAGCCCCCUGGGUCAAGAUUGACGCUCAUGCACGAAAGCGUGGGGAGCAAACAGGAUUAGAUACCCGAGUAGUCCCA